CAGGCUUAACACAUGCAAGUCGAGGGGCAGCAUUUUAGUUUGCUUGCAAACUAAAGAUGGCGACCGGCGCACGGGUGAGUAACACGUAUCCAACCUGCCGAUAACUCGGGGAUAGCCUUUCGAAAGAAAGAUUAAUAUCCGAUGGUAUAUUUUCUCCGCAUGGUGAGAAUAUUAAAGAAUUUCGGUUAUCGAUGGGGAUGCGUUCCAUUAGUUUGUUGGCGGGGUAACGGCCCACCCAGACCACGAUGGAUAGGGGUUCUGAGAGGAAGGUCCCCCACAUUGGAACUGACACACGGUCCAAACUCCUACGGGAGGCAGCACUGAGGAAUAUUGGUCAAUGGACGAGAGUCUGAACCAGCCAAGUAGCGUGAAGGAUGACUGCCCUAUGGGUUGUAAACUUCUUUUAUAUGGGAAUAAAGUGUUCCCCGUGUGGGAUUUUGCAUGUACCAUAUGAAUAAGGAUCGGCUAACUCCGCGCCCAGCAGCCGCGGUAAUACCGAGGAUCCCAGCGUUAUCCGGGAUUUAUUGGUUUUAAAGGGGAGCGUAGGUGGAUUGUUAAGUCAGUUGUGAAAGUUUGCGGCUCAACCGUAAAAUUGCAGUUGAAACUGGCAGUCUUGAGUACAGUAGAGGUGGGCGGAAUUCGUGGUGUAGCGGUGAAAUGCUUAGAUAUCACGAAGAACUCCGAUUGCGAAGGCAGCUCACUAGACUGCAACUGACACUGAUGCUCGAAAGUGUGGGUAUCAAACAGGAUUAGAUACCCUGGUAGUCCACACAGUAAACGAUGAAUACUCGCUGUUUGCGAUAUACAGUAAGCGGCCAAGCGAAAGCAUUAAGUAUUCCACCUGGGGAGUACGCCGGCAACGGUGAAACUCAAAGGAAUUGACGGGGGCCCGCACAAGCGGAGGAACAUGUGGUUUAAUUCGAUGAUACGCGAGGAACCUUACCCGGGCUUAAAUUGCAUUUGAAUAAUCUGGAAACAGGUUAGCCGCAAGGCAAAUGUGAAGGUGCUGCAUGGUUGUCGUCAGCUCGUGCCGUGAGGUGUCGGCUUAAGUGCCAUAACGAGCGCAACCCUUAUCUUUAGUUACUAACAGGUCAUGCUGAGGACUCUAGAGAGACUGCCGUCGUAAGAUGUGAGGAAGGUGGGGAUGACGUCAAAUCAGCACGGCCCUUACGUCCGGGGCUACACACGUGUUACAAUGGGGGGUACAGAAGGCAGCUACCUGGCGACAGGAUGCUAAUCCCAAAAACCUCUCUCAGUUCGGAUCGAAGUCUGCAACCCGACUUCGUGAAGCUGGAUUCGCUAGUAAUCGCGCAUCAGCCAUGGCGCGGUGAAUACGUUCCCGGGCCUUGUACACACCGCCCGUCAAGCCAUGAAAGCCGGGGGUACCUGAAGUACGUAACCGCAAGGAGCGUCCUAGGGUAAAACUGGUAAUUGGGGC
Molecule: ribosomal RNA, 1438 nt
Filed under: uncultured organism
Description: 16S ribosomal RNA
Rfam family: Bacterial small subunit ribosomal RNA
Source: RNAcentral